RNAcentral lists this transfer RNA (83 nucleotides) under Candidatus Jorgensenbacteria bacterium RIFCSPHIGHO2_02_FULL_45_20. RNAcentral describes it as "tRNA-Leu". It matches the Rfam family "tRNA". Rfam says of the family: Transfer RNA (tRNA) molecules are approximately 80 nucleotides in length. RNAcentral also lists the same sequence under 1 other name. Lineage: Bacteria; Candidatus Joergenseniibacteriota. The record is from RNAcentral.
GUCGGAGUGGUGGAACUUGGUAGACACGUACGGUUCAGAGCCGUAUGCCGAAAGGCUUGAGGGUUCAAAUCCCUCCUCCGACA